RNAcentral lists this ribosomal RNA (465 nucleotides) under uncultured bacterium. RNAcentral describes it as "partial 16S ribosomal RNA". It matches the Rfam family "Bacterial small subunit ribosomal RNA", at positions 28 to 507 of the family's 1533-position model. The record is from RNAcentral.
GACGAACGCUGGCGGCGUGCUUAACACAUGCGAGUCGAACGGAAAGGCCCUGCUUGCCGGGUACUCGAGUGGCGAACGGGUGAGUAACACGUGGGUGAUCUGCCCUGCACUUCGGGAUAAGCCUGGGAAACUGGGUCUAAUACCGGAUAGGAGCCAUUUUUAGUGUGAUGGUUGGAAAGUUUUUUCGGUGUAGGAUGAGCUCGCGGCCUAUCAGCUUGUUGGUGGGGUAAUGGCCUACCAAGGCGGCGACGGGUAGCCGGCCUGAGAGGGUGGACGGCCACAUUGGGACUGAGAUACGGCCCAGACUCCUACGGGAGGCAGCAGUGGGGAAUAUUGCACAAUGGGCGCAAGCCUGAUGCAGCGACGCCGCGUGGGGGAUGACGGCCUUCGGGUUGUAAACUCCUUUCGCUAGGGACGAAGCUUUUUGUGACGGUACCUAGAGAAGAAGCACCGGCUAACUACGUG